CUAAUACUCCAUCCGUCCCAAAAUUCUUGUCAUAGAUUUGUCUAAAUACGGAAGUCACAUUUUGACAAAUCUAAGACAAAAAUUUUAGGACGGAGGGAGUAUUAA
Triticum aestivum (bread wheat) is the source of this 105-nucleotide non-coding RNA. The record is from Rfam. Lineage: Eukaryota; Viridiplantae; Streptophyta; Magnoliopsida; Poales; Poaceae.